GCGGCGGACGGGUGAGUAACACGUGGGUAACCUGCCCAUAAGACUGGGAUAACUCCGGGAAACCGGGGCUAAUACCGGAUAACAUUUUGAACCGCAUGGUUCGAAAUUGAAAGGCGGCUUCGGCUGUCACUUAUGGAUGGACCCGCGUCGCAUUAGCUAGUUGGUGAGGUAACGGCUCACCAAGGCAACGAUGCGUAGCCGACCUGAGAGGGUGAUCGGCCACACUGGGACUGAGACACGGCCCAGACUCCUACGGGAGGCAGCAGUAGGGAAUCUUCCGCAAUGGACGAAAGUCUGACGGAGCAACGCCGCGUGAGUGAUGAAGGCUUUCGGGUCGUAAAACUCUGUUGUUAGGGAAGAACAAGUGCUAGUUGAAUAAGCUGGCACCUUGACGGUACCUAACCAGAAAGCCACGGCUAACUACGUGCCAGCAGCCGCGGUAAUACGUAGGUGGCAAGCGUUAUCCGGAAUUAUUGGGCGUAAAGCGCGCGCAGGUGGUUUCUUAAGUCUGAUGUGAAAGCCCACGGCUCAACCGUGGAGGGUCAUUGGAAACUGGGAGACUUGAGUGCAGAGAGGAAGUG
RNAcentral lists this ribosomal RNA (581 nucleotides) under Bacillus thuringiensis. RNAcentral describes it as "bacterial SSU rRNA". It matches the Rfam family "Bacterial small subunit ribosomal RNA", at positions 95 to 661 of the family's 1533-position model. Lineage: Bacteria; Bacillati; Bacillota; Bacilli; Caryophanales; Bacillaceae. The record is from RNAcentral.